AUUGAACGCUGGCGGCAUGCUUUACACAUGCAAGUCGAACGGUAACAGGCCGCAAGGUGCUGACGAGUGGCGCACGGGUGAGUAAUGCAUCGGAACGUGCCCAGUCGUGGGGGAUAACUACUCGAAAGAUUAGCUAAUACCGCAUACGAUCUAUGGAUGAAAGCGGGGGACCGUAAGGCCUCGCGCGAUUGGAGCGGCCGAUGUCAGAUUAGGUAGUUGGUGGGGUAAAGGCUCACCAAGCCAACGAUCUGUAGCUGGUCUGAGAGGACGACCAGCCACACUGGGACUGAGACACGGCCCAGACUCCUACGGGAGGCAGCAGUGGGGAAUUUUGGACAAUGGGCGCAAGCCUGAUCCAGCAAUGCCGCGUGCAGGAAGAAGGCCUUCGGGUUGUAAACUGCUUUUGUACGGAACGAAACGGCUCUGGUUAAUACCCGGGGCUAAUGACGGUACCGUAAGAAUAAGCACCGGCUAACUACGUG
This 482-nucleotide ribosomal RNA is filed under the name uncultured bacterium. Its description in RNAcentral is "partial 16S ribosomal RNA". It matches the Rfam family "Bacterial small subunit ribosomal RNA", at positions 30 to 507 of the family's 1533-position model. The record is from RNAcentral.